AAAGGCGAACGGGGUGCGUAAACCUAUCGCCACGAUGAAGGCUCUGCCGCACUUGUAACCUUCAAGCCCAUGCAACGUAGGCGCGUUUGCCUGCAUGGGCUCCCGUUGUU
RNAcentral lists this small RNA (110 nucleotides) under Lysobacter sp. Root96. Its description in RNAcentral is "Methylobacterium-1 RNA". It matches the Rfam family "Methylobacterium-1 RNA". Lineage: Bacteria; Pseudomonadati; Pseudomonadota; Gammaproteobacteria; Lysobacterales; Lysobacteraceae. The record is from Rfam by way of RNAcentral.